GGGACUGCCGGUGCUAAGCCGGAGGAAGGUGGGGAUGACGUCAAGUCCUCAUGGCCCUUAUGAGCAGGGCUUCACACGUCAUACAAUGGUAGGUACAGACGGAAGCGAAACUGUGAAGUGGAGCUAAUCCGAGAAAGCCUAUCGUAGUCCGGAUUGUAGUCUGCAACUCGACUACAUGAAGUCGGAAUCGCUAGUAAUCGCAGAUCAGCAUGCUGCGGUGAAUACGUUCCCGG
Molecule: ribosomal RNA, 233 nt
Filed under: uncultured bacterium
Lineage: Bacteria
Description: partial 16S ribosomal RNA
Rfam family: Bacterial small subunit ribosomal RNA
Source: RNAcentral